Oncorhynchus nerka (sockeye salmon) is the source of this 195-nucleotide long non-coding RNA. RefSeq lists it as uncharacterized. NCBI's taxonomy places the organism in Eukaryota, Metazoa, Chordata, Actinopteri, Salmoniformes, Salmonidae. The transcript has 3 exons. The record is from RefSeq and is a predicted model, not a curated record.
GGACAAACAGGGAGCAAGUGGCAAAUCAAGACACUGGAGAAGCCAUCAAAUUAAAGUCAACCGUAUGUCAAGGAGUCUGUCAAGCAUGGAGAAUCAGGUGACCAACAUCAACAUGCUCCUCAAGGAGGCUCAGAUGGAACUGGAAAGAAUGGAAAUGGCUAUAGGAGAGCCUACAGACGCCAAUGGGGUAAAGUA